AUUGAACGCUGGCGGCAGGCCUAACACAUGCAAGUCGAACGGUAACAGGAAGACGCUUGCUUCUUUGCUGACGAGUGGCGGACGGGUGAGUAAUGUCUGGGAAACUGCCUGAUGGAGGGGGAUAACUACUGGAAACGGUAGCUAAUACCGCAUAACGUCGCAAGACCAAAGAGGGGGACCUUCGGGCCUCUUGCCAUCGGAUGUGCCCAGAUGGGAUUAGCUAGUAGGUGGGGUAACGGCUCACCUAGGCGACGAUCCCUAGCUGGUCUGAGAGGAUGACCAGCCACACUGGAACUGAGACACGGUCCAGACUCCUACGGGAGGCAGCAGUGGGGAAUAUUGCACAAUGGGCGCAAGCCUGAUGCAGCCAUGCCGCGUGUAUGAAGAAGGCCUUCAGGUUGUAAAGUACUUUCAGCGGGGAGGAAGGGAGUAAAGUUAAUACCUUUGCUCAUUGACGUUACCCGCAGAAGAAGCACCGGCUAACUCCGUG
RNAcentral lists this ribosomal RNA (490 nucleotides) under uncultured bacterium. RNAcentral's name for it is "partial 16S ribosomal RNA". It matches the Rfam family "Bacterial small subunit ribosomal RNA", at positions 30 to 507 of the family's 1533-position model. The record is from RNAcentral.